AACGAACGCUGGCAGCAUGCCUAACACAUGCAAGUCGAACGAGACCUUCGGGUCUAGUGGCGCACGGGUGCGUAACGCGUGGGAACCUGCCCUUAGGUUCGGAAUAACUCCCCGAAAGGGGUGCUAAUACCGGAUAAUGUCCUCGGACCAAAGAUUUAUCGCCUUUGGAUGGGCUCGCGUUGGAUUAGCUAGUUGGUAGGGUAAAAGCCUACCAAGGCGACGAUCCAUAGCUGGUCUGAGAGGAUGAUCAGCCACACUGGGACUGAGACACGGCCCAGACUCCUACGGGAGGCAGCAGUGGGGAAUAUUGGACAAUGGGCGAAAGCCUGAUCCAGCAAUGCCGCGUGAGUGAUGAAGGCCUUAGGGUUGUAAAGCUCUUUUACCCGGGAUGAUAAUGACAGUACCGGGAGAAUAAGCUCCGGCUAACUCCGUG
This 433-nucleotide ribosomal RNA is filed under the name uncultured bacterium. Its description in RNAcentral is "partial 16S ribosomal RNA". It matches the Rfam family "Bacterial small subunit ribosomal RNA", at positions 29 to 507 of the family's 1533-position model. The record is from RNAcentral.